AUGACAGAUCAAGAUUCAACUUCCCCCUCUGAAAAUGGAGUGGAGAUCUCCACAAAUGGUGCCCACCAACCAUCAUCGUCCAAAGAAACCACACUAGGAACCCCUUUCGCAAAACGAACGCUGAGACCACGGAACAUCUCCACCAUUCAAGCUGACUCUGACCGCAGGAAGAAGAAGAACUCCAAACCAGAAAAGAGGCGGAUGACUGAGUGCUUGGAAACCAUUUACGAGGAGCCAGUGACCAAUAAGAAAGGUGAACUCCUCCUGACAGGAAGGAAAUUGAAAAGGUCCAUAACAUUCAAUCCAGGGAGUGGGGAGGAGAUAAGCAAAGGAAAAAUCAAGAAACGCAGAGACAGAAUAAAAAAGAAAUUGGGAAAUAAUUUCAAAUUAAAAAUGAAAAAGCUAAAUCAAGUCAAGUCCAUGAACAUGAGUGAUAUCAGGUGUAAACUGAAUCUACUAGACAUUGAUGAAUCUUUGUAACCUAGAUUUGUUUCUAAAAGAGUAUUUUACACUCUUGUCAUGGGUCUUGGAAUUUGCCAUUUAACUGAGGUAACAAAUUGUUGUGAUUUUUGCAAGAAAUAUUUUAGCGUCAAAAUUCCUCCUCCACACUCACAUGAAGCUCUGAAAGCCCACUAAUUGAUUAAUUGUAGAGUGUUCAUAAUGGAAGUUAGUUGCAUCCUUUUUGCUGAGACUUCACACUAAUACACAAUAGUACACAGACAUACUCGCAAUAGGAAACAAUACAAUAAUGUACACUUGCUACGUAAUAGCAGGGUUGUCAUGAUUAUAGCCUUAAAGUAUCUUCACUUCGAGUACCCUAACAGGGCGGCAAUCCCACUCAUAAUUUUAGCCCCAACUCAAUGGAGAGAUUUUGACCGCUUGCAGAAAAGCACCCUUUCAGAAUGUUGUAGUACCUACUUAAUCAGGGACCUUUGCAUCCUUAAUUUUUGUAUAAUUUUUAUUUUGAGAACUUGAUGUUGGGUUUUGGACGGUAAGACACUUUUAUUUCUCUCUCAAAAUUAUAAAAAACUGUACUGUAGGACUGCGAAUUCUAUGACCUAAUAGGAGCAUUAUUCAUGUCAGAAGAAUAAUAUUCUUUUUAAUUUGAGUGCCUGCUUACGAAGAUUUGAGUUUGACUUGAAUGACCCAUUUACUUUAGUAGCUUUUUUUCAAUUUAUUGUAAAAAGCACCUCUGGUAGACUUGAAUCAGUUGAGUUGGCAGUUGCUCACUUCCAGUUUAAACAUGACAGUGCCUCUGUCUUCCAAUAGCAAUCAAGAUGAGACAGAGGGCAGUGCACUCAGACAUGUAAAUCAAGACAAAGGCAGCUAACGAUUGAAAGGAAUUAACUUUGAACAAAUUUGAUAGGAGUUCCAUAAUUUUUUAUGAAACCAAAAGCAACUCCAUAAAUUCACUCAGUUUUAAAAUUUAUUUUGCAUACCUUAAGGGUAUCAGUAAUUAUCCAUAGACUUAAAAAUUAAGCAGUGGUUUUGAAAGAAAAAGCAUCUUUUCUGUGGCCAUUUUCCUUAAGCGUACAAAUGAUUGCCCCCCUCCCAAAAAAAAAAAAAAAAAAAAAAAGCCUCGUGUUGUUUCUAUACAUAUCAAGGAGCAGGAGUAUGCAUAACCACAUAUCUCCGUUUGUGGUGUUGCCGACCUCCUGUCAAACUUUAUUGUUUUCUUGGAAAGCGCGUCAACCUGAUUUCUCCUUUGUAACCAAUGAUGUCCAUCAUCAAAAGCUUUUCAAAAACUGGAUGUCUCGACAGUUGGUCUAUUCUUAAUUUAUUCUGUCCUCUGAAUACUCACAGUAACAACUUGUCAGUUUGAUUUCUCAAAUGUAAUUUAUGGUCUGAUGCCUUGUAAGUUCAUCUCUCCUAAUCUUUAUCUUUGUAACUACCUAUCUUUGCUCUAUCUUUUUGUUUCUUUUCCAAUUUGAAUGUCAUAUCUAAGUAGACCUUCCUGUUCUAUGUUAAUUAAUUUAUUGCGUUUUGUCUCCAUGUUUUUUAAAACUUUUUCAUCAACUCAGGAUUGGUUUACUUUUAGGCUGUGAGCUCAGCACUACAAAUGAAUCAUUGAAGUUUUUUUUUUUUUUUUUUUUUUUUCUAAAACGUUCGGAGGUAAAGGUAAAACCAAAAAUUGAACCAAAAAAUUUUCGCAAGAAAAGGAAAAUAUUGUAACUUUCAUUUUCUAUCAGAAUUAUCAAAUAUCAAGUGUAAUACUCAAUUAGUUCAUCCUUAAGUUUGUAUAGAAUUGCUCUGAUACCUAACAAUGAUCGGUGAAGUUAGAAACUUCCAUCUUGUCAGAUAGCUUUUCAGUUUUUUUUUUUUUACUUAAAUCAAACUUCAACAGCAAGAGGAACGUGGGAACUUUGGGAUAUAGCCUCAUGUUUAGUUAAAUGGGCAUAUCUGGAGGCAACCUGCAAUCUGCAAACAUUGCCUGGGUGAAGGACAAAUUGCUGUUCUAUUUUUUAUUUUGUUAACAAAGGGAUAAAGUUAAGGUAUAUAUUUGUGAUAAAUUCCUUAACUCAGUAUUGUUGAACCCUAUCAUAAAAAAUUAAAUGUAUGUUUAUCAAGUUUAUAAUUUUGUAUAUAUUGUAUUUUCGUACGGAACGAUGUAAAUAAAAUCGAUGCUUGGUACCUUCUUGAAAUCAAGCCUCAGAAUUUUUCUUUGUCAAUACACGGAAAAUCAUGA
This 2686-nucleotide long non-coding RNA is filed under the name Bemisia tabaci. RNAcentral's name for it is "lncRNA ENSASIAIIG006827". Lineage: Eukaryota; Metazoa; Arthropoda; Insecta; Hemiptera; Aleyrodidae. The record is from RNAcentral.